UAAAUAAAAACAUUUCUAGCCUAAAGGCAAUUACAUUGGGAAAUUAGAAAAAGAUCAGCCUAAAACCCCCAAUAAUAUAUGAUUGAUCCAAAUAGGUGAGGUAAACCCAUGAAAUUAUCUAGCAAAUCUUAAAGACAGAGGAGACAAGGAGCCUUAUGUUUGUCUCAGACGAAAUAGACAUCGAAGAGUAGUAUGAUGGUGAAGUAGCAAAUACUGUGAUUUGGUCAUCCAUUCAUUCCUUCCGUUAUGAUACAUAGCGUGAUGAGUUAGGGUUGGGGUCUAGAGAGCCAGAAACCAAACAUCGCAGAGGCUGCAACAGACCAGAAGAGGUAGAUUGUACAUUGCCAAGCAAGGAUAACAAUUUUCCGAUGAUGAAUAGGCAUCUGACUGUUAGAUAGCAAUAAUAGUGACGUCCCAGUCUCUUGUAGGAUUAAUCCGGCAUCUACCUGCAACCAAUCGCCAAAAAUCCAAGGAAAAAGAGAAAUCAAAGUAAAGAUGGUCUGACUUUCAGUGGAGGCGUUAUAGAGCAGACACUUUGGAUUGGUUGUAAGGCUCCAAGAGAGUAAAUGAUCUCUAGUUGGGCAGUGAUUCAGCAUGAAAAGCCAACACAUAAAGCUCUGACUCGGAAUACCAAUUGAAUUCCAAAUAGUUUUCUUCUAGAGGACACUUGCUGAUUCCGCAAGCAAGGUAUGAUAAAUCAUCCAUGUUCUGAGUUUUGUAAUUCUUUUACCAUUGAUCUCCAAUUCAUAUUGAUCUGGUUCUUUGCUGAGGAUGAUCGUGGUAAGGUACGCCUGAAGUGAAACCUGAGUUUCUGAUCUGGCUGGCCGGAGGGACCAGCCGCUAUUGAAGAAAAGAGCAGACAAAGUUGCUGUGGAUGAAAUCCCAUUCUUGCAGAUGCGUCAGAGAGGAAUGACCGAAGAUCACCCAUUGGCGACCAAUUAUGCAACCUAAACAACAUACUAAUAGGUUCCUAACUCCCAAUCUUCCUUCUGAUUAAGGUUUAGUAACUGUUUCCCAUGAUGCUAGAGCUGUAUGAUGUCCCUCCAGUGUUUCCUUCCAAAGAAAGGCUCCGCAAAGCGAAUUAAUUGUCGAAAUACAUUUCUUCUUUGGGAGAAGACAUAUUGAUGACCAGAAAUUAGUUAUGCCCGCGAUUACCGAGUUUAGGAGGACGAGUCUACCAGCCAAGAAAGAGAUCUAGCACUUCAAGUCAAUAUUUUACUCUUUACUUGAUGGAUACGCGGUUCACACAGUUAGCCAUGUAUAAUUUUUAGUACAAAGAGGCACUCCCAAAUACCUUAUUGGCAGUGAACCAAGAGAUAGACCAGUGGAGACUGAGAUGGAAUCAAUUUCUGAUGCAUUCAUACCAGAAGCAAAGAAUACAAUCUUGUUAAUGCUAAUGGAGACACCAAAGAGGAGCUCAAAUUACAGAACACCAUUAAGACUCCCUGAACCGAAAGACUCCCACUAGUGAAAAUGAGGAGGUCAUCCAAGCUCAGAUGUGUAAAUUUAGUCUUGGCACACUUUGGAUGAUA
Raphanus sativus (radish) is the source of this 1532-nucleotide long non-coding RNA. RefSeq lists it as uncharacterized. The transcript is spliced from 3 exons. NCBI's taxonomy places the organism in Eukaryota, Viridiplantae, Streptophyta, Magnoliopsida, Brassicales, Brassicaceae. The record is from RefSeq and is a predicted model, not a curated record.